Molecule: non-coding RNA, 27 nt
Filed under: Mus musculus (house mouse)
Lineage: Eukaryota; Metazoa; Chordata; Mammalia; Rodentia; Muridae
Source: RNAcentral
UACUGCUGAUGUUUCUUUUUGGUAAAC